RNAcentral lists this long non-coding RNA (843 nucleotides) under Numida meleagris (helmeted guineafowl). RNAcentral describes it as "lncRNA (ENSNMEG00000017621.1)". The record is from RNAcentral. Lineage: Eukaryota; Metazoa; Chordata; Aves; Galliformes; Numididae.
GAUCCCAUAACUUCACCAGGGAGGAAAACUCCCAGCUCCUGGGCCUGGAGACCAGCCAGCCCAUCAGCUCUUCAUCAAAGCAAUUAUCUCUUUUCACUCAAAGAGGAGAUGAGAGGGAAUGGGACCACUUGUAAGCCAGACAACCUCAUGAGUGUGGCACAUGGUAAAACACAAACCUGCUGACAGAGGCUGAGAGAACCAGGAGCCCUGUGCUAUGGGGUGCUGAGUGCCCCCCUCUGUCCCCAAAACGCUUAACACUUCUCGCGUAGUCACUGGCAAAACCCAUCUGGCAAGCAUCUGCCUGCUGGCUAGAGAAGUGCUUCAGCUGGUUUCAUUAAAUUCUAGCCUUAAACAAUGUGAGCUCCAAAGCAAAAUGUUGCUGUUAGCCUUGGAAACUGCAUCUGUCCUGAAACUGCCAGAGGUCUCACUUUUUGUAGUGAGCAAUCUUAUUUUCUUAAUAAAUGAGGACUGUCAUUUCCCCCCGCCUUUUUUAGCUCCCAGAGCUGGCUGUGCACAUUCUUGACUACGCGAAGAGUCUGAGGUUCUCUGCCAAUCCCAGGAAAGCAGGAGAACAUGGAUGUCUUCUUCAGAAGAGUUGUGGGCAAAAUGGAGACUUCCACCUCUGGGUUUUUCAGGAUCCUUCCUCGUUCAUGGACCGCAGGGACAUGAUGUUCCCGCAGCGAUAGUGACUGUGAUUUCCUUUGCUUGGUUUCCCUGUCUGUAUCCCAGGACAAUGUUGGCUUCUACCACAAUCUCUAGAUCGCCUGCAGGCUUUGCCAGUGGUGUUUCUUCCAGCUCAUUCAUAGAAAUAUGAAAUAAAUAAACCUCCUGUCACGCUUUGCA